GUCGGCUGGUGUAGUUGGUCACUUCACUGGUAUGGGUCGGUGACGAGUCGCGGGUUCGAAUCCCGCAGCUGACA
This is a non-coding RNA of Pseudomassariella vexata, 74 nucleotides long. Lineage: Eukaryota; Fungi; Ascomycota; Sordariomycetes; Amphisphaeriales; Pseudomassariaceae. The record is from the annotation of a RefSeq genome assembly.